RNAcentral lists this ribosomal RNA (253 nucleotides) under uncultured bacterium. Its description in RNAcentral is "partial 16S ribosomal RNA". It matches the Rfam family "Bacterial small subunit ribosomal RNA", at positions 524 to 776 of the family's 1533-position model. The record is from RNAcentral.
UACGUAGGGGGCGAGCGUUGUCCGGAAUCAUUGGGCGUAAAGAGCGUGUAGGCGGCUUGGCAAGUCUGACGUGAAAGCCCCGGGCUCAACCUGGGAACCGCGCUUGAGACUGGCACGCUCGAGUUCGGGAGAGGAUGGUGGAAUUCCCAGUGUAGAGGUGAAAUUCGUAGAUAUUGGGAAGAACACCGAUGGCGAAGGCAGCCAUCUGGACCGACACUGACGCUGAGGCGCGAAAGCGUGGGGAGCAAACAGG